AAGUCGUAACAAGGUUUCCGUAGGUGAACCUGCGGAAGGAUCAUUAACACGUAUCCAACGUUAAACCCCCCCGUGCACUUUCAAUAUACACAUCGCUUCGUGACCCCUCUUGUGUCGGGAUUGAUGGUCGGGAAAAACAGGGAUCUAGGGAGUUGGUUGUCGGGGGAGAACCUCGCGAAAUAGAACCUCCAGAGCUGGAAUACCCGAACAACUGUUAACAAUGGAUAUCUUGGCUCUC
RNAcentral lists this unclassified non-coding RNA (238 nucleotides) under fungal sp. RNAcentral's name for it is "partial internal transcribed spacer region". The stretch from base 1 to 46 matches the Rfam family "Eukaryotic small subunit ribosomal RNA", at positions 1786 to 1831 of the family's 1831-position model. Lineage: Eukaryota; Fungi. The record is from RNAcentral.